This 254-nucleotide ribosomal RNA is filed under the name uncultured bacterium. RNAcentral describes it as "partial 16S ribosomal RNA". It matches the Rfam family "Bacterial small subunit ribosomal RNA", at positions 524 to 776 of the family's 1533-position model. The record is from RNAcentral.
UACGUAGGGGGCAAGCGUUGUCCGGAUUUAUUGGGCGUAAAGAGCGUGUAGGCGGCCAGAUAGGUCCGUUGUGAAAACUCGAGGCUCAACCUCGAGACGCCGAUGGAAACCAUUUGGCUAGAGUCCGGAAGAGGAGAGUGGAAUUCCCGGUGUAGCGGUGAAAUGCGCGGAUAUCGGGAGGAACACCAGUGGCGAAGGCGACUACCUGGCCUGUUUCUUGACGCUGAGGCGCGAAAGCUAGGGGAGCAAACGGG